AACGAACGCUGGCGGCAUGCCUAACACAUGCAAGUCGAACGAGACCUUCGGGUCUAGUGGCGCACGGGUGCGUAACGCGUGGGAACCUGCCCUUAGGUUCGGAAUAACUCCCCGAAAGGGGUGCUAAUACCGGAUAAUGUCUUCGGACCAAAGAUUUAUCGCCUUUGGAUGGGCCCGCGUUGGAUUAGCUAGUUGGUAGGGUAAAAGCCUACCAAGGGGACGAUCCAUAGCUGGUCUGAGAGGAUGAUCAGCCACACUGGGACUGAGACACGGCCCAGACUCCUACGGGAGGCAGCAGUGGUGAAUAUUGGACAAUGGGCGAAAGCCUGAUCCAGCAAGGCCGGGUAAGUGAUGAAGGCCUUAGGGUUGUAAAGCUCUUUUACCCGGGAUGAUAAUGACGGUACCGGGAGAAUAAGCUCCGGCUAACUCCGUG
Molecule: ribosomal RNA, 433 nt
Filed under: uncultured bacterium
Lineage: Bacteria
Description: partial 16S ribosomal RNA
Rfam family: Bacterial small subunit ribosomal RNA
Source: RNAcentral